GACGAACGCUGGCGGCGUGCUUAACACAUGCAAGUCGAACGGAAAGGCCUGCUUUCCCUUGUGGAUUGCGGGUACUCGAGUGGCGAACGGGUGAGUAACACGUGAGUGAUCUGCCCCCAACUUGGGUAUAAGCCUGGGAAACUGGGUCUAAUUCCCGAUAGGACUGCAGGGUGGUGCCUGUGGUGGAACACGAUUUUCUAGUGGUUGGGGAUGAGCUCGCGGCCUAUCAGCUUGUUGGUGGGGUAAUGGCCUACCAAGGCGGCGACGGGUAGCCGGCCUGAGAGGGUGGACGGCCACAUUGGGACUGAGAUACGGCCCAGACUCCUACGGGAGGCAGCAGUGGGGAAUAUUGCACAAUGGGCGGAAGCCUGAUGCAGCGACGCCGCGUGGGGGAUGACGGCCUUCGGGUUGUAAACUCCUUUCGACCGCGAGGAAGCCACCUGGUUGGAAGGGUGGUGACGGUAGUGGUAGAAGAAGCACCGGCUAACUACGUG
RNAcentral lists this ribosomal RNA (494 nucleotides) under uncultured bacterium. Its description in RNAcentral is "partial 16S ribosomal RNA". It matches the Rfam family "Bacterial small subunit ribosomal RNA", at positions 28 to 507 of the family's 1533-position model. The record is from RNAcentral.